AAUGGGCGCAAGCCUGAUGCAGCCAUGCCGCGUGUGUGAUGAAGGCCUUAGGGUUGUAAAACACUUUCAUCGGUGAAGAUAAUGACGGUAGCCGAAGAAGAAGCCCCAGCUAACUCCGUGCCAGCAGCCGCGGUAAUACGGAGGGGGCAAGCGUUGUUCGGAAUUACUGGGCGUAAAGCGCACGUAGGCGGACUGAUCAGUUGGGGGUGGAAUCCCGAGGCUUAACCUCGGAACUGCCUUCAAUACUGUCAGUCUUGAGAUCGGAAGAGGUGAGUGGAAUUCCUAGUGUAGAGGUGAAAUUCGUAGAUAUUAGGAAGAACACCAGUGGCGAAGGCGGCUCACUGGUCCGAUACUGACGCUGAGGUGCGAAAGCGUGGGGAGCGAACAGGAUU
This 392-nucleotide ribosomal RNA is filed under the name uncultured Gammaproteobacteria bacterium. RNAcentral describes it as "bacterial SSU rRNA". It matches the Rfam family "Bacterial small subunit ribosomal RNA", at positions 370 to 779 of the family's 1533-position model. The record is from RNAcentral. Lineage: Bacteria; Pseudomonadati; Pseudomonadota; Gammaproteobacteria.